This is a non-coding RNA of Delphinapterus leucas (beluga whale), 1048 nucleotides long. Lineage: Eukaryota; Metazoa; Chordata; Mammalia; Artiodactyla; Monodontidae. The record is from RefSeq and is a predicted model, not a curated record.
CAGCCUUGGGGCAGGGUCCUGGUUCCCCAUCAAGGGAUACACAGAACAACGUCUUUGAGCUGUUUGGCAGGUACUGAGACCCCCCACCAGGUGGGAGAAGUUAAUGGUUAAUGGCAUGCUGCCCACAGAGGCCGGAUUUGGCUUCAGCUCUGCGCCAGGCGAACAGAGAGGGUUUGGAGCUGGAUGAGGAGUUGUGGGCUUGCAAACUGGCUGCUCUCAGGAUGAAGCCUGAUGAUGACAUGUCUUGUCAGGCAAGUACAGAGUUUCAAAAGUGGAGGGAUGAGGUGCCUGCAGGUGGCUGUGCAGUCAGCCUUCCCAUCCCUCCGUCCCAAGCUUACCACGUGCUCCUGGCCACCUCUUAGUUCAGGAUCCUAAGAUUCUAUUCCGAUUCCUAUUUGAAAGAUAAGGAGGCCUAAGACCGAGAGGAGAUCUGAAACAAGCCAGCAAACACAAGCUAUCUCCUCUUCUGCCCUGGCCAUAGAUGCCUGCUGGCCUGGAGGCAUCUGUCAGAGAGGUGCUUUUGCCCCAGGCCUCUCCAUAUUUUGUACGUCUUUAUAGCCAUCACCCCAUUUUCUCACUGUGUAUUUGCCAUCCUAUAUCUGCCUCAAACAGUGAGCUCCUGAAAAUCAGGGAUUUCAACUUCACAUCCUCACCGCCUGCCACGGUACCCAGCAUGUGGUCUGUGUGGUCACCCUAAUGUACCUACUGCUCUACCAAGUCUGCACCAAGACAGGGUGGAGCAUGGAAAAAGAGACAAUUCUCUGAGCCUGGAUGGAGCAAAGCUGAGCUUGUCUCCAGAGGAUCAGGGACACACUCCCCAGUGGUGUAGCAGCCUUCAGGACGCAUGGGGGCCCCGUGCUGGCCGCACCCCAAGCCCCCGGUGAGGCGUGGAGGCACCAGCACGCCUGUGACCAGUGACUGCCCCAGCUCACCGCUACAGCGGACCCCAACUUUGGGGAGGGGCUGCAACAAUGUGUUUAAGUGUCCCCAAAUCCUUGGAUCGAAUCACAAUUGGAUUAUUUUUAGGAAAAUAAAGAACUCGAAAUUC